CAUUUCUCAGCCACCAAGUGGAGUCAAUUUCAGAGGUAUAAGUGCCUUAAUGUGUUAAUUCUUCUUGCUUCUAAUAGUAGCAUUUUUUUACUAUCUUAUUCCUUACAUCCUUUCCAGGCCCACCUUACGUGGGAAGGACUGAAACUUCACCCAGACUUUUCUAGCCAGAGACACUAGCAGAACGAAGGCUCAAGGACUUAUGGGUAUGAAUCAGAGUGUGCUGGCUGGGUCUAAGCUAGUAAUUGGUUGGACAGUGAGGCCAAAAGGACACAAGUAGACUAGAUCAGUGGUUAUCGACCUGUGGAUUGCAACCCCUUAGGUGCAGUAUUUCAGAUAACCUGCACAUCAGGUAUUUAUGUUAUGAUCUUUAACUAGCAAAGUUACAGUUCUGAAGAAGCAACAAAAUAACUUUAUGGAUGGGGGUCACCACAACCUGAGGAACUGUAUUAAAGGGUUGCAGUAUUAGGAGGGUUGAGAAUCACUAGACUAGAGGGAAAUGAAGGAAAUCAAGCGAUGAGAUGAUCUGAAUGAGGCUAAUGAUCAAGCGAAGGGGAGUGGAGAUAAGUCUGGAAGUGUAAGGGGUUCAGCUUGAAAGGGAGUUAGAAAGUUAAGAUGUCAGAGGUGGAACGUUUCUGAGAGAUGCUAAGGAUAGUCAGGGGAUAGGGCACUGUAUUAGACAAGGUUCAAGAACUGGAAGGUAUAUUGAUGGAUGGGUUCUCCAUGUGAUAAAGACACCAAUUUGUACAAAGGGCAAUGGUCUGGAUGCUGCAGAUGCCAACAGAUGAAGGAACUACUGGAAGUUUAGUAGGAAAUCAUAAUGCACAGGGCAUGGGGCAUCUCAGAGGACAACUAGGUCUUACCAAGGAGAGUUAUUCUAGUUUGAGAAUAUCCCAUGGAAGAUUUAUGAGAGAAAAGACAGCCUCUUUAUCAUUUAAAUCACAGCAGAAAGUAGAUGGUCCACCUAUGGGGGAACUUAAGGUGCAUAUGAUAAAUGAAUUACUGUCCCAGGCAAGGCCCAAGCAUAGGGAAUCUGGAAGUAAUAGCAAAGCCAUGAGCUUCAGAGAAGCUCCUCCCUCCCCAGAUACAGAUAUAGGGACCCUCAAGCCUACUCCACUUGACCCCUGACCCCAUCCACAUUCUGCCUCUUAUCUUCUCUCAAAACUGUUAAACUUUUGAAAUCUUAGCCUGUUGUAUGAUGUUUAAACCAGGCUUUUACUUUAUCGCGAGAUUGUAAUCUGCCCGACUAGCUCCAAUCACAACAGAGUGGAAACAGACCUCUGCUUUGGAGCAUUUUAACACUGUCCAGCCCUCCAUCAGGAGCUUUUGCUUCCUGGAGAAAAACAAGAUAACAUGAAGGGCAAGUCAAUCCAAGUCUAGCCUGACAGACAGUAGGGUAGUUCUAGGAGCUCAGUGAUCACUGAAACCAAGCCUUCCGAGCUUCUCAGAAACUUCCUAACUACUGUUUGAACUCUCGUUUCUAACAAAAGACUUACUUUCUCUGGAUCUCGAUUUCAGUUAGUCUUCACUUGCUCAAGAAAGUAAUUUUUAUACCUAGUCAGGCAACAAUGGCCCAAAGUAUCAGGCAAGGUGGCAUACGUCUACAGUGUCAGCAUUCAGGAGGCUGAGGCAGGAGGAUUGGAAAGUCAACUUAGGCUAUAUAGCAGGACCCUGUGUGGAAAAUAAAAAACAAAACAAAAUGAAACAAAAAUGGUCCAAAGUAAGAUUAGACCCAAACAUUGUGUCAAGAUGUAGAAUAAGUAGACCGAACUAUCCAAUGGCAGAAGUCACUACAGAAUCUAAUUAUUGAUGAGUAACCCAUCAAUGGGUGGGUUGAGCUGGUGGGUUUCUGUGUAAUGCAGGGUUCCCUGCAGAACUGCAAGUGAUAGGGGAAUAAGAGUAGUAGUUGGGGGAUCUUCUUAUCUGAUCCAAGAAGUCCUUUGAGGCUUGGGACUUUGCCCCCUGCUUGGAACGCUCUUUGUCCUCUCCUUCAUUUGCUCACUGGACAACUCCACUUCAAAAGCUUCCCUCCCAAGUAAAGCAAGGGUCACAACUGACCUAAGGCAGUUUGAAGAGACACAGCAUGAGUAGCUCUUGGUUAGUAGGGUGAUUUAGCCCUCCAGAAUAAGACAGCGGGAACCACAUCAGUGUCCAUGAAAGCGUUAACAUAUUUCCUAAAGGAUGCGGUUUUCCAGCAGGACAUCCGAGACUGGCUGCCGAAUGGAAGUGUGCCGCACGCAGUUCCAGCUGCUUCAAAUUAUGUUUUCCAGGAGAGAAAUGUACAGCCCUCUGACUCCAAAAAUAUGUGUCGGUCUUAGCCAAAAAUACAUUUGUUCUUGGAUUCAUAAAAAUGCGGGCCACGUGAAAUAUGUGAGGAGCAUGCACUCUCGUGCAAAAUACUGACUGAAAGGAAGAAAGGAACUCUUUAAAAGCUUUCACUGAGAAGCAGCAAGGAUGGUUCAGCUUUGCGUGUAGGUGGGAAACAGAAUGGGAAGUAAGAACGCUUUGCCCUUGAGUGGAAAUUUUUCUGGACCGCCCUCCUAGCAUCCCGGAAAAGCCCUGAGCAGCUAUAGGGCAGACUCUCCCACUCCUGCAUGGGCUGACUCAUAAAGCCAGAGGCAAGGCCUAUCACAACUCCAAACUCUUGUUUUUGAUAUCUGUGAGGGGUUUUCAACAUGUCUGUGUUCAGGAGACAGUUUGAUUUUUCUUUUUCUCUAGUUCACCAUGGACCAGUGCUCUUAUGAAAUUAUAAUAAGAGUGGAUUACUAAAAACAAAGGAAACACAAAUGAUCUAUAACAUGAGCCUCUGUUUUUGAAAUUGCUUUAGAUUCAACACACGUAAAGUUAUGUUGGCAAAUUGUAGCCAGAGGUUAUUUUGACAGAGUGACUAGGACAGGAAGUCAAAGCAGCAGCAUAGACAUCCCUGUUUCCUCUCCCCACACAAGUGGACUUUUUGGGGCUGCCCAUACUAUAUGGACUGGGUCCCGCCAUGUCCCUGAAGCAAGAAAAAGAGACCCCUGUAGAGGCCAGGAGACGCAGACUAGGAGGAGAUAGAAUGUUCCAGGAGAGCCUCAAAGGUAAGGAGAGAACAGAGGCCCAGCACCAACUUCUUCAUGACAAGACUCAAAGGGCAAAAGUACUUUGAGAACACAACAGUGUCACCAGAGCCAACAUGGACAGCAACUGCUAUAUGCAGGGCUAGGCAAGAAUCUGGUGACCAGUGACCACAUGCCUUCCCACAGCAUGUGCCCCAGAGAGUAUCCUCACUUAACAGCAGCAAGCUCUCGGGUAACCUGUCUCUCUCCUCACUCAUUGGAUUUUCUCUAUCACAGGCAAGGAUGGACUGGGCAUCUUGUCAGACCUCAGUUUACUAGCCUGGAAAAGCAAUGCUUCUUCUGAGGGUUGCUGAAAAGGCAAUGUGGGUUGAGAGGGGCUCUGAGUUCAUGUCUUUAGAUAACUUGAGAUUCCCACGAUCCCACUGAGCCCAGGGAGGCACCUAGAAGGAGAAAAGUAUAAACUGAGUUAAAGCUGAUAACUCUUUCUCUUUUGAACACUGGAGAAGUGAAUGUUCCAGAAUCAGUUGGGCACAAUCUAAGGAUAAUACGGCAAGUUUAGCACACCAAGACUAACCCAACAUGGCUGGGAAAGGCAGAGUGAUGGUGAUGUGUUUUUUAUGUUUCUAAUAAUUUUAUCCCUUCAAUUGCUACAGGUUUCCAUAAAAACAUGUUUAGAGAACCCUCAAAAAGGAAAAUUUAAAGGGUAGCUAAUUGACAACCCUAACCCCAUCUGCACCCUCAAUUCUCUCUUACCAUGCAAUACAGAACAGGCAAACUGAGUAUCUUCGAAUUCCUGGGAGCCAGGAUAUGGACAUCUUUGGGGAAAGGGUCAAUAUCCUGAUUAGACCAUCACCUAAUGUCAUUCAUUCAGUUGGCAUUCACUGGACACUCAUUCCACGCAAUGCAUAGGUUUAAACUCAAAGAAUUCAACAGUGUGGAAGGUAGAGAGGGUCCUAAGUUUGUACUUGAGAUGAGCAAGCCAACGUUACAGGAAUUAUUGCUAAGUCCUAACAAGACCAUAGAGCUCUCUGGGACUCCUGAUGUCAACGGAGGUGGGAGCAUUUAACAUACAGAUACAAUGCUCACAUGCUGAGAGAAUGGGGCAAAGCCCAAUGGGACAGAGGAGAAAUUCUAGAUUCCAAAGUGAGACACUUAUGUCCUCCAUGACCUGCAGGUCGCAAUGCUGAGUAUGUAAUCCUGAGUCGUCUUUAGCAAGCUCUAAACUCAAGGAUCUACCUUUGCGAUAUCCAGGCAACAUAAGUCACUGUUUUGAGUGCAGUCAAUGAACACAAUGGUCAUUUAUUAGAUUUGUAUUUUUUUACUACAGUUGAUUUAAUCUACAUUAAAAAAAAAAUUCCCGAUCAGAGCUGUGAGAUGACUCACAAGGUCAGGAUGACAGCUGCUAAACCUGGUGCCCUGGGUUCAAUCCCUGGACUGCAGAUGAGCAGAGAACUGACUCCUCAUUUUCUCAUGUGUGACACGGCACUGCUUUAACUCCUGAAUACACAGGAAAAGGCACUCAAGGCAAAUAAACGUAUCCUAGGAUAGUUCCAGUAGACUGGAUGGUCAGUUAUCCUGCCCGCUGCUCUCUCUUCAAAGGAGCCUGCCCUGUGAGGUACCUGCAAUACGAAGUAUGACCACGUUGCCCAACCCGGCAUGGAGAAUAGCCUCCCCGUCCCCCACAGUAUGUGUCAGGCUCUCCUGGAGAUGGUUGUCUGACCAGUGCAGUGGGGACACUCUGGAAUAAACACAAUUGACAGACUCCUUUCCUCUUUCUGCACAGGGAAAUUUACAGAUUAAAUUUCAAAUGUGCCACACACCACUGAGGAGGGUGAAGAGGCGGGCCUGAAGCCAGAAGUGGAUGCAUCUGUGUGUGGCAGAAACGGCCAGGGAGAGCCAAUUGUCCAGGGUUGAUCCUGUGAGAGAGAGGGAGAGCGGCUCUCCGUGGCCAGUUCAGCGCACUCUGGGCUGAGGCAGAGGAAUGUGAGGAACUCCUGGGCAGGAAGACCAAGAGCAGUUUGUUUGAACUUCCGGCCACUUCUCAAUCUUGUGAGACUGAAAAAGAGCCAACUGGGAAACAGUUUCGUAUUUCCCUAUGAAUAUGACACCGAAGCUGAAGAUUUACAGAAACUCUAGGGGGCAGUGGGCCAGUGGCAGUCCUGCAUCUACGGUUUGCACAGCCGCAAAAGGGAGUUUCUGUGUAGGCUCGGGCUCCAGAGGAGGCAGGCGAGGCCUGACGUCAGCGCCUCUUCCAAGUUUGAAGAGAGAUGCCACACCCUCUCCCAGGACACACAGAUCCCCUUACCACCCCACCCUGGUUUUCCAGAGCCUUCUGAAAAGUGCCAGCCUUCCGCCUAUGAAAGAGAAACCAUCCCUUUGGAAAGAUGCAGUCUAGCGUUUUGGGCGGGGAUGACAGACGUAUACGUCGCUGCUUGGCUGACGUGGAGGCGCUUGAACAGACUUUGCGGUGGCUUGGGUUUUGGCAUCCGACUUUUGUUUCCAUCCUUGUUUUGAGCUGAUUUAGGGAGUUUCUCUUUUUUAAGCAGGAAUAUAUUUUAGAUGUGUAACGUGCUUGGUUGCUUCCAACAAACUUUGAAAAACCUCUUUGUUCUCACCGUGCCAACUUGUAGGCCACCCAAAACGUCCAGUUUCCCAAAAAGCCCACCACUUGAGAUGAAAAGAUUAGACCCAAAACAUAUUGGGUGUAGAUUUUCAUAGCAAGUGGAUAUGAGUUCACUGGGACAACGUGGUUCUAACUGGCCAGUGUGCACAGUAAUGGGAAAGGACUGUUGCCACAGAACCGUAUUAGUGGGACCUACACCCGAUAUUCAGACACUGGUGGCACAGGUGCCAACAUCUGGAGGUUCCACCGAGAUCGGGAAAAAGAGGACAACCUGACGGGAUCGUUCCAAAAGGCUGGCCGGCAAGGAAGCAGUACGUAUUGGGGACAAGCGGCAACCACGGGGCAAAACUAGAAGUAAGUAGCGCUACAAAGGUUUUGUCUUAGCCGUGGGAACUAAAAUGUUUUGUGUAUGUGUUCUUUUAGAGUUAUGCUAAAAUCUAGAGAAGCAAAGUUAAUUCUCAUUGAUGCUUUUAAUCUUUGGACCCUGAUUAGAGACAGUUUACACCCCAGACAAGAGAGAGAAUGGGGUUGAGAAAGCUUUUUUGGAGCUCUCCUGGGGACAGAAGGAGGUGGGGAGACGCCUUGCCUCCUUGCUGGUAUUGGAGAAGUGCUUAUUUCUGGUUCUGGGUCCUUUAGGUAGGAUAUCUGGGUCCCUUUGGUGUGGGAUACCAUCUAGUUUUUUCCCUGUAUGUCUAUUGUCUGUCCUUGGUGUACCAAGCUGUCCAUGUAUGUCAAUUUAUGUCUGGGUUUUGCUUCUCGUUGCUUGAAUGUUUUGUGUUUCAUGGUUAAGAGAAAAAAAAAUGGUUAAAACUUUAAAUGCUGGUUGAUGUAGUUUUGACUCCUUUCAAGAAAGGAACAAUAAAUAAAAAACAGUUUCAAUUGGCUUUUGGAGCCCUUUAUCUGUAGCUAGAAGCCUAAGUCCACAGGGGAAACUCCCCAGGGGUCUGGCUAAAUGUUUACACUAGCAGAUCCUAAAGGCGCUAGGAGCUUCACAGCUUCUAUGGUAAUGGAACUGAUGGCUGUUUCUCUUAGAAAAAUCUUUGACUGUGAUUAUUGGACUCAACAGGUGACAAGGUGUUUCUCUUAAAACGACAGCUAGAAAAAGUAAAAAUGGUGAUUGAUUUAAAUAUUAAAAGAUAUCUGUAGUCACUUCACUUUUGUUUCUGAUUAGUUUUAAAUUUAUAAUACGCUCUACAAGUCUUGGUUAUAGUUCACUAACCUUUAAGUUAUUGGAUAUGGUUAAAAACUUGUAGCAUUGGUAACAGAAAGUUGGCUUAAAACUGAAGUCAUUCUAGAAAACCCGUGGCAUGAACCAACCCAGAGAAGCAGGUCUAAAUUGGCAUAAUAUUUUAAUUUAAUUCUUAUCCUAGAAACCAGACUUGCAAAAGAAUUUAGGGCAAUGUCUCUUUGUUGAGGAAUUAGAGCCCACACCAUCGUUCGUUCAUAUGCAAGAAUUGGCAGUCAAACUUUAAAGCAUGAGGAAUGGACUUGAUGUUUUGGAGAGACUGGAUUUUGGAGAAUAUAUGGUUUGUUGGAGGUUGAGUUUUGCUUUCCAAAGUUAUAGUUGUGCUCUGGUGUUACAAGGGAAACUUAAAGAUUGUGGUUAAAGAUUGCCAGUGUUACAUUGGCUACAGUUUAUAGUUUGAUCACAGACAGGCUCAAGAUUCUAACUUGCACAUAUUUGUAAUUAAGAAAAAAAUCAAACAGGUGGAGAAUGUUACAGGAUUUAUGAAAGGUCGAUGAGGCUAUGGAACUUAUAGGAGCAUUACACCCUGUUUGCUCACUCCAACUGCUAUUUCAAGAAAUACAUAUACAAUUAUUAUAGAUUUAAAAGAUUGUUUUUAUGCUCUUUCUUUACAUCCUGGCAAUUGUGAAGGAUUUUCAGUUAGUGAGCUUGCUUAUAAUUUUGGAGAGCCCAUGAAGUGAUACCAUUGGAAAGUUUUGCCUCUAGGAAUCAUUUUUGGCCCUACGUUAUGUAAAUUUGUCACUGCUUCAAUACAAGAAGCUAAGACUUUGAAUCUUUCAGUGUAUAUUAUUCAUUAUAUAGACAUUUAAAUUUUACUACAAGCUUUUACUCUUACAACGUGCUUUAAAUUUUUGGGAGUAGCUGCUGCUCCAGAAAAGAUUCAAUAUUCCUUUUCAAUAUUUGAGACAUUGGUCAAUAAGAAGAGAAAAAAAUUUUCUAAAAUCUGUGCUAUGCGUGUUGGCACCCCGUUUCCCUUUUGGUUCGGAAUGGGACUAAGGCAGUGUCAAGGGAGGAGAUUCUCAAUUGUUCUUCCAGGUCCUAACCUACCGACCGAUUGCUGGGAACAAGAAGAUUCUGCAUGGAUUGUUUGAGUUCCUGGUGUGAUUCCCCAUACCUCUGGAUGAAGGCUGAUUCCCAGUGGUACUCUGCAGGCAUAAAAGAGACUUUGGCAUUACUGUGACAGUCAUUGCUGCCAUCGCCAUUUCAGCCACUGCUGCUGCAGUGGCUGGUGUGGCCAUAUCUCAGUCGGCAGCUGUCAUUGGGACUGUGGAUACGUUGUCUGGAGAAGUCUCCACGGCAUCGACUCUGCAGAAUAACGUUAAUAUUCAGAUUCAGUUGGCCAUUCUUGAUCUCAACCAACAAACUGCUCUCUAUUGGACUUCUCUGGGAAACCCAUGUUAUGUCUUAUUCUAUCUUUUAUCAUUCUAUGUGUGUAACCCCUGUUAAGGUCCUUCAUAGCAGCAAGGCUGUUGGGGAUGAAUGCUUAUCUUGAUUGCUCCCUCGUAGCAGCUGUCCUUGGGCUGUUUUGAAGUAUCAACAGAUCCAGUCUCAGGCUAAAACCAAGCAGGUUCGGUUUUCAUUAGCCGGGAAUAAUCCAUCGGUCCAAAUUAGGCUCAGUUUGUAUGACAAUUAGUUAGCCAAAGACGGACAACCUUCUGGGACCAUAUUUGCCCAAGACAAAAAUCCUGAGGCUGGCAGGAUUUUCAGAGAUGGGAAAGAGUUUUGAAACCCCAGAUUGAUCCUAAGACAGGCGCUACUUAAAAAAUAAAAUAAAGGAGGGGGAAUUGUUGGGCCCUACCUUGGUGUUUCCCUCUCCCCUCGCUGAGCCUUUUAGCCUGCUAUAGCAAGAAGUUGUUUACACCCUUGGCAGCUGCUCUUAGCCCCUGAUUUGGGGCCGGGACUUUCCACCACACAGACUUUUCCUGUUUUCCUGUUUGGGGAUUUUCACCUGCCUUGUUGUUUUCCACGGCUUUUGCCUCCGGUAUAUAAGGAGAACUCAGUAAAGCCUUGGUGGCACUCUCUGAAAACGGGUGACCUGUGUACAUGUUUUCUUUCAAUCCCGCAGACCUAUGCCCGAUAUUCACACACUGGCAGCUCAGGCGCUGACAGACCCUUCCCACACUUGUGCUUUUUCCUUUCAUUGGUGACCCAUAGAUUUUAAACAAAACUGUCUGAAUGGCCACACAUUUGGAUCCAUCCUGGAGGUCUCAUUAUUUGGCUCAAAAUUGAAGGCAAUGGCAGUCUCUCUCCCAGAAUCCAUCAGUUCAACGCCAGUCGUUCAGGAAGCAGGGUUCCAUGAGCCCUUCUGCAGUUGACAGUGAUUGGCAGUUGACAGACCCAGUGAUGUGCCAGUCUAAUGCAGGCAAUGUCAGCUGCUGUGGUCAUGUCUACAAUUGUUAUGAGAAUAUUAGUCAACCCAUCUUCAGGCUCCUACAUUCUUAAGCUCGCUUCUCCAUGGUGUUCCCUUAGAGGGGGCUGCAUAAAUGACAUGUCUAGGGCUGACAACUAUCAUUUAUGUGAGCAUCUUGAACAAACAUGAGUCUAUGUGUUCAUUGCCUAGAGAUAGUUUUCUGAUGAAGGAUGGGAACAGCAUUUGCCUAUGGGUAUAAACAAUAUUUAGAAGGCAGUGUGGUACCAAGUCAAUUUGUCUAAACAACAGCAACAAGUUCCCCUGAGAGAUGUUCCUCAAAAUACUGGGAAUAGAGCCACCAUGUGACCAUGCAUGCUUCAUAUUGUUUUGUCCCACCACAAUGAUUCUACCUCCUAUUACAGAGACACUUGUUCACCCAUAGUCAUCUACUCCAUCCAUCCCACCACAAUAGGAUCAGUAGCGAGAAGGUGGCACAUUUUAUUCUUCUGUGAAAUAAGUGAAAAUUUUGGGUAAACAGAUGGAGCUGGAAAUAUAUAUUGAGUAAGGUAACUCAGGCCUGGAGAGACAAAUGCUGUGUGUUAUCUCUCACACAUGUAUGUGGAUGCUGUCUCAAAUCUUGUUAACUGGCAGCACCCAUAGAAGCCAGGAAAUUAGAAAGAGGUUGUUGGAGGGAAGGAUGUCUUUAGGGAGAGAGACUGGUAAAGUUUAAGUGAUCUUAAAGUACAGAGGAGAUCCUAGAGGUGGAGGAAUUCAAGCAGGUAAGCAAGUAGGAGGUCAGAGAGAUGAGGGAGUAAGGAAGGACAGAAGCAAAAAACACAUAAAAAGCCAUUUAUAAGACAAUUUAAAAAGAUGCAUUAAAGCUGGGAGUGGUAGUGCACUCAGGAGGUAGAGGCAGGUGGCUCUCUGUGAGUUCAAAGCCAGACUGGGCUAAUAUAGUGGUUUCCAGGACAGCCAGUGCUAUGUAGAGAGACCUUGUAUCAAAAAACAAAACAAAAUGACAAUAACAACUGCAGUGCUUUGAAUAUGCUUGGUCCAGGGAGUGGCACUACUAGGAGGUGUAGCUUUGUUGAAUUAGUUAUGUCACUGUGGGCAUGGGCUUUAAGACCCUUGCCAUGGCUGCCUGGAAACCACUCUUCUAGCUGCCUUCAGAACAACAGGUGGAACUCUCAGCUCCUUCUGCACCAUGCCUGCCUGGAUACUGCCAUGUUCCUGCCUUGAUUGAUAAUGGACUGAACCUCUAACCUGUGAGCCAGCCCCAAUUAAAUAUUGUCCUUAGAAGAGUUGCCUUGGUCAUGGUAUCUGUUCAUAGCAGUAAUACCCUAACUAAAACAACAAC
Non-coding RNA from Rattus norvegicus (Norway rat), 10629 nucleotides. The record is from RefSeq and is a predicted model, not a curated record. Lineage: Eukaryota; Metazoa; Chordata; Mammalia; Rodentia; Muridae.